Molecule: long non-coding RNA, 234 nt
Filed under: Rattus norvegicus (Norway rat)
Lineage: Eukaryota; Metazoa; Chordata; Mammalia; Rodentia; Muridae
Description: long non-coding RNA NONRATT013369
Source: RNAcentral
CGAAGGAAGCCGGAAGGCACGGAAGGCAAAGCUCUGUCGCAGGCUUUCGUGGUGCAUUGUGGAUAAAAGUUUGUCGCCGCUGUUUUGUUGAGGAUAUUUCGCGAUUGCUGGCGCUGAGAGACCGCGGCCGAAAUGCCGGAGCGAGAUAGUGAGCCCUUCUCUAACCCUUUGGCCCCAGAUGGCCACGAUGUGGAUGAUCCUCAUUCUUUCCACCAGUGAGUAAUUUUGUCUUUG